Erinaceus europaeus (western European hedgehog) is the source of this 4583-nucleotide RNA transcript. It is a transcript of the gene named calcitonin receptor like receptor, with no coding region annotated. The transcript is spliced from 16 exons. The record is from RefSeq and is a predicted model, not a curated record. Lineage: Eukaryota; Metazoa; Chordata; Mammalia; Eulipotyphla; Erinaceidae.
CACUUCCAAUCUAUUCAGAACAACCCUCUUCCUCCAGCAGAGUGUCACCUCCUCCUUUAGGAUCACCAAGCUCUGCUAACUGGAUUUCACCCUGCCUGCAGGAUCACAUUGCCAGGUUUUCACUCUUCCCCACUUUGCCUGGGAGUAAAAUCUCUUCUGCGGAUUCUCAGAAAAACCAAAUCCCAUCCUAAGAGUAUUUCAUUAAGAAUCUCCAUAAGCAUUGUGCUGGUCAUGACCCCUGGAUUUAAGAAAUUCUUCAAGACAAUGUCGAAUAUAAUCCAAAAGAAAAUGUGAUUUGAGUCUGGAGACAUUUGUGCAUUUUUCUUAAGAUCGACUAAUAAUAAUUUUAAAAAAUCCCAGUAUACUAAUAGACAAGGAAGCAUUAUUCAGAAGACAAUUAUAAUUAAAAAGAAAAGCUUCUUCUAGUGUAUAUUAUACUGCAUAUUGGAUUUAAUAAUGGAAAAGAGAUAUGUCCUGUAUUUUCUGUUUCUCUUACCUUUUUCUAAGAAUCUUGUCAUAGCAGAACCAGAAGAAGAGAACCCUGAUGACUUAAAUCAGCUGGGUACUACUAGAAAUAAAAUCAUGACUGCUCAAUAUGAAUGUUAUCAAAAGAUUAUGCAAGACCCCAUUCAACAAACUGGAGGCCUGUACUGCAACAGGACCUGGGAUGGAUGGUUGUGCUGGAAUGAUGUUGCUGCAGGAACGGAGUCAAUGCAGCACUGUCCUGACUACUUUCAGGAUUUUGACCCAUCGGAAAAAGUUACCAAGAUCUGUGACCAAGAUGGAAACUGGUUUAGACAUCCAGCAAGCAACAGAAUAUGGACAAAUUAUACCCAAUGUAAUGUUAACACACGUGAGAAAGUACAAACUGCACUGAACUUGUUUUACCUGACUGUGAUUGGACAUGGACUAUCUAUUGCAUCGCUGCUACUCUCACUUGGCAUUUUCUUUUAUUUCAAGAGCCUAAAUUGCCAAAGGAUCACCUUGCACAAAAACCUGUUCUUCUCAUUUGUUUGUAACUCUAUUGUGACAGUUAUUUAUCUCUCUGCAGUAGCAAACAACCAGCCCUUAGUGGCCACAAAUCCUGUUAGUUGUAAAGUGUCACAGUUCUUUCAUCUUUAUCUGAUGGGCUGUAACUAUUUUUGGAUGCUUUGCGAAGGCAUUUACCUGCACACACUCAUUGUGGUAGCUGUGUUUGCUGAGAAACAGCACUUGAUGUGGUAUUAUUUUCUUGGCUGGGGAUUCCCACUGAUUCCUGCUUGUAUGCAUGCUGUUGCCAGAACUUUGUAUUACAAUGACAACUGCUGGAUCAGUUCUGACACCCACCUCCUCUACAUUAUUCACGGUCCAAUUUGUGCAGCUCUGUUGGUGAAUCUAUUUUUCCUGCUAAAUAUUGUCCGUGUUCUCAUCACCAAGUUAAAAGUUACUCACCAAGCAGAAUCCAAUCUCUACAUGAAAGCUGUAAGAGCUACGCUUAUCCUGGUGCCAUUACUUGGCAUUGAAUUUGUACUGAUCCCCUGGAGACCUGAAGGAAAGAUUGCAGAAGAAGUUUAUGACUAUAUCAUGCAUAUCCUUAUGCACUACCAGGGCCUUUUGGUUUCUACAAUUUUCUGCUUCUUUAACGGAGAGGUUCAAGCAAUUCUAAGAAGAAACUGGAAUCAAUAUAAAGUUCAAUUUAGAAACAGCUUUUCGCACUCAGAUGCCCUUCGCAGUGCGUCAUACACAGUGUCGACAACCAGCGAUGGUACAGCGUACAGUCACGACUGCCCGAGUCAGCAAUUAAAUGGGAAAAGCAUCCACGAUAUUGAAAAUGUGGUUUUCAGACAAGAAAAGCUAUACGAUUGACAACACAGGGAAUAUUACAUGAUUUUUAUGCCACCUCCUGACUCGUGGACUUGGUUCCAAGAUUUUACAAACAGAAGAUUUCAGUAUCAAGUGACGUUCUUGAACGCUGCACAAAAGCUACUGUAUGAAUUUCGUAAUAUGGAUAAAUGGCUAUAACAACUUGGUGGUCAAGAACGGGUACAGGGCCAAGGGGUGGGGGGGCGUGCUACUUUGUAAGGUUAGCCAAAUUAUAUGGUGUGGCUACUUCCACUGAUUUCAAACUACCAACUUGACAUCAUUGAAUGUGCAGUUGGAAAAACAGCAUAAUCAACACCUAUCAACUAACUGGAGUUCCAACACCACUACAUGAACUUACAGAUAAAUAAUCCUAUAAAAGUUCAUAUAAACUGGACAAGUUUCUUAUUGCCUAAAGAUAGAUGAUAAAAAUUGACUUGGAGAAGAAAUGAUGGUUCUAUUACUUGGUGGUUAAAAUCUUUGCUCCAUAUCUAUUGGUUCAAACAUUUAUCCCUGAAAAAUAUAUUUUGAUUUUUUUAAUUUACCCUUGCAAAUGGACCAGAUAAAAGAUAAUUAUUCUUGUUGACAUUUCCUCCUAUACACAACAGCGGAGCAGAAUCGCUAUUCACUACUUAUUUGCUGAUAUAUCACAGUUGUACUCAGUGUCAGACCUAUUCUUGUGACUUUAUAACUAGUAUUAUGAUAAACAAUACGACUCUAAUAUUAUUAGAGAAACGUCAUGAUUGAUACCACAAAAUGCCUUCCUAGUAACUGCCCUAUUUUGUUACAUAAGAUCACUUGUCUGUAUUUGUAAAUAGUAACUUUGCCCCUUCCAUUUCUACUGUGUAGACAAGCAGCUAUUUUACUGGAAGGAACUCAAUGAAGGACUUCUUAUUUUCUUGGAAGCAUGUAAAAAAGUUGUGAAAAGUGAGCUUGUAAAUACUUUGUUAGUUUGUUUUGUAGUCCCAGUUCAAAUGCAUAUAUCCUAGUUGAUUAAAAAUAUGCAAUGUAAUAAUCUACACUUAAUAUCUGAUACUGUGUCUGAGCUAAUUUUAUAAGAAAAUAGAAUCUGGAAUUCUAUAUGUGCUAAAUAUUUUAAGACAACCAGAUGUCAGCAUCAGAAAUGUGAGUGGCAAGAAACAGAAAUAUCUAUAUACAAUAUUUAUUGAAAAAUCUCAGAGACCACUGUUUUAUGGAAUAAGCUAGGUCUGUGAUUCAUACCUUAAGAUCAGGUAUAUUUGACACACUUCUCCCUUUAUUCUGACGAUGAAUCUGAAUUCUAAUCCAGAAAAUUGUGAUAAGGUUACUGUGAUAAAUAGAAUCUUCUACUCUUAACAUUUUUACUCCAUUUAAAAUAUUACUUUACUGCCUUUUAUUAUAUGAAGAGACAUAACCUGGGAAAUAUUCCAGUCUAUUAAGAAAUAGAUAAAUGCUAUCUAUAUCAUAUGGAAUGCUUUAAUAUCUUAAUAGAAUGACUUCAUGUAUUCAUACAAAUCAGCAAAAGACUUGAACAUUUCAUCACUGAGGAUGUCAGAACAUUUAUGCAAUAAAUGAAGGUCAAAGAUUGUCUUUCUGUUGGAUUUAAGUGACAUCUAAAUGAGAUUUGAGGUUUUCAUGUUGUUUUCCACUGAAAUUUCUGAAGACAAAAGAAAAAAUGCCUCUGAUUAUUAAAAGGAUAUUUUUGGGAGAAAUCAUUAUGUGUAUGUGUUUUGCAGUGUGUCAAUCUGCUUAAAUUAAGCAGAAUAACAACUUAGUUCUCAAUUGUCUUUUCAUUAAUUCUCAGUAGGUAAGUUCAAAAUUAAUUUGAUACUCUAGGGAUAAUAUCCAAAUUAAUAUGAAUUAACAAACACAAAACAUCCUGGUUAAUACAUCUGCUACUUGUAACUUUCCUAUAUGCCUGUAAAGACUUUAUUACGUUGAUUUCAAAUUUAUGGAUUUCAUAGCAGAUAAAUUAAUAAAAAGGAAUGCAGGCUAUUAUAAAAUUCUGACUGUUGAAAUUCUACCAAAAAAUUCCUUUAGAUAAACUCACUUUUUAGUUAUCCAGAAACAUAGCUUCAAUUCCUUUGCUGAUGCUAUUUACAAAUGUUCCAGACAAACUGUCAAGUGUCAACUAUAAAUGACAGUAAAAAUAUCAAAUACUUAGCAUGGUGUAUGCGUAUUUUUAUUAUGCUUUUAUACUAUAAACUUUUGAUGAGAUUGUUUCUGUGGCAUGGGUCAAUUUAUUGUACAGCCUUUAGAUAAAAGUAUGGCAUGAUACAAUAGAAUCAGUUUUGUAUGUAUGGUUUUUAGGAAUAACAUUUUAAAAUAUUAGAAUUAUCUGAAACUAUAGCGCUAAUUAAAGUCUCUACGUAUCUUACUCAUGAAGUAAUUGUAAAAUCAACACUUUCUAGAAGCAGAUGUUUUUGGUGACUGAAACUAAUUUGAAAUUCUCAGCUUUUUAAAACGUAGAUUCGUUAUUAUUCUAAAAGUAUUUGUGAAAAUCGAAUCAAUUUUAAAACAUUUGAACUGGCCACGUGUUAUAUUUUAGAACGUGUAUUCAAUAAACACCCAAGUUGAAUUCAGUGUUUGUGCAUGUAAGCCGAUGAACAUGGUUUGCCGCUGGGUUUGUUCUUUAACAACUUUAAAAAUGUGAACCGCCUUUAGUUUUCUCUAAUUAUACUUUGCUAAUAGGAGUCACAAUUUCAUUUAUCUGUAAAACAUACUCAAGAUAGCCUAAUAAAUUAAAGCAAUUCAUCUUAUGCUUA